GAGCAGGCCGAGCGCUACGAGGAGAUGGUUGAGUUUAUGGAGAAGGUUUCCGCCUCCGUCGAAAAGGAGGAGCUCACUGUCGAGGAGCGGAAUCUCCUCUCUGUUGCUUAUAAGAACGUCAUCGGAGCUCGACGCGCUUCCUGGCGUAUUAUUUCCUCCAUCGAGCAGAAGGAGGAGAGCCGCGGCAAUGAGAACCACGUUUCCAUGAUCCGGGACUAUAGGGCCAAGAUCGAGUCCGAGCUCUCCUCGAUCUGCGACGGGAUCUUGAAGUUGCUUGACACGAGGUUGAUUCCCUCUGCUUCUCCUGGGGAUUCUAAGGUGUUUUACUUGAAGAUGAAGGGAGAUUACCAUAGGUA
This 356-nucleotide unclassified non-coding RNA is filed under the name Hevea brasiliensis (rubber tree). The record is from RNAcentral. Lineage: Eukaryota; Viridiplantae; Streptophyta; Magnoliopsida; Malpighiales; Euphorbiaceae.